RNAcentral lists this ribosomal RNA (474 nucleotides) under Burkholderia multivorans. Its description in RNAcentral is "bacterial SSU rRNA". It matches the Rfam family "Bacterial small subunit ribosomal RNA", at positions 335 to 797 of the family's 1533-position model. Lineage: Bacteria; Pseudomonadati; Pseudomonadota; Betaproteobacteria; Burkholderiales; Burkholderiaceae. The record is from RNAcentral.
UUCCUACGGGGGUGCUGCAGUGGGGAAUUUUGCCGACAUGAGGGCAAGCCUGAAUCCAGCAAUGCCGCGUGUGUGAAGAAGGCCUUCGGGUUGUAAAGCACUUUUGUCCGGAAAGAAAUCCUUGGCUCUAAUACAGUCGGGGGAUGACGGUACCGGAAGAAUAAGCACCGGCUAACUACGUGCCAGCAGCCGCGGUAAUACGUAGGGUGCGAGCGUUAAUCGGAAUUACUGGGCGUAAAGCGUGCGCAGGCGGUCUGUUAAGACAGAUGUGAAAUCCCCGGGCUCAACCUGGGAACUGCAUUUGUGACUGGCAGGCUAGAGUAUGGCAGAGGGGGGUAGAAUUCCACGUGUAGCAGUGAAAUGCGUAGAGAUGUGGAGGAAUACCGAUGGCGAAGGCAGCCCCCUGGGCCAAUACUGACGCUUCAUGCACGAAAGCGUGGGGAGCAAACAGGAUUAGAUACCCCAAGUAGUCAA